RNAcentral lists this ribosomal RNA (500 nucleotides) under uncultured Glomeromycotina. RNAcentral describes it as "partial small subunit ribosomal RNA". It matches the Rfam family "Eukaryotic small subunit ribosomal RNA", at positions 591 to 1092 of the family's 1831-position model. Lineage: Eukaryota; Fungi; Glomeromycota. The record is from RNAcentral.
CCAAUAGCGUAUAUUAAAGUUGUUGCAGUUAAAAAGCUCGUAGUUGAAUUUCGGGAUCAGUACGCCGGUCGUGCCUUCGGUAUGCACUGGUGUCACUGGUUUCUCCCUUCUGAAGAACCAUCAUGCCAUUAAGUUGGUGUGGUGGGGAAUCAGGACUGUUACUUUGAAAAAAUUAGAGUGUUUAAAGCAGGCUCGCGCUUGAAUACAUUAGCAUGGAAUAAUGAAAUAGGACGUUUGACCCUAUUUUGUUGGUUUCUAGGAUCGACGUAAUGAUUAAUAGGGAUAGUUGGGGGCAUUAGUAUUCAAUUGUCAGAGGUGAAAUUCUUGGAUUUAUUGAAGACUAACUACUGCGAAAGCAUUUGCCAAGGAUGUUUUCAUUAAUCAAGAACGAAAGUUAGGGGAUCGAAGACGAUCAGAUACCGUCGUAGUCUUAACCAUAAACUAUGCCGACUAGGGAUCGGAUGAUGUUAAUUUUUUAAUGACUCAUUCGGCGCCUUACG